Molecule: long non-coding RNA, 1333 nt
Organism: Lemur catta (Ring-tailed lemur)
Lineage: Eukaryota; Metazoa; Chordata; Mammalia; Primates; Lemuridae
Exons: 4
Source: RefSeq, a predicted model, not a curated record
CCGGGAAGACUUGCGCGCAGGCGCAGUCUCGCGUUCUUUUUGGGGUCGACCGCGUGGCUGUUAGUCGUGGUGGCUCACGUCGGUUCUGAGCUUAGUUGGCAGCCUCGGCCUGCGGUGAUGGCCUUUGUUUGCCAUCUGCAGAGAUGGCGAGAAGCAGAGCGGCAGGUUGAAGCUUCAGAGUAUGGACGGAGCCCUAAAAUGAGUAAGAAUGGGUGCAGGCACGACGUGAGUGGUCAUCAGAAAUGAGAAAACAGAUAACUCUGCUGUCACAGACAUCUGCCUUAUACUUUGUUCUGAAGUUAAGUUCAAGCAUAUCAGUACAUGUUGAAACAAAAGUCUAGUUAGGGUACGACGAAAUCUACCCAGAAUUCAAAAUGCAUGGUAAAUAUGAGGAUUGUGCCUUUGUAAUUAGGGGCCACUAGGUGUCACUGUUUGUAACCAGCAUGGAUGUCACUGCACAGGGCUCAAAGGGAGACGUGGAAAAUGAGUUUCAGUUGGCUGGCAUUUAGGAAUAUUUGUCACUGGUUGAGCUGAGGAUGAUUUAAAGUUAUCCCUGUCUGAAAUGACAUCUUUUAUGAGGAGUUCUGACUUACUGAGGCUCAGCUUUUUAAUAUAAAUCUCGAGAAAAUAAACACUUUAAGGUUGUUUCUGUUAGAAUAAAGCAUGUUAUCCUUUUCUUUCAGAUUAGAAGUGUUGCUUGUGGACUUUAAGAAAAAGCCAUGUGAAAACUCAUCAUGAGUUGUUGACUGUCACGGAAUCUUCACGAUGACAUUUCUGUAAAUGCAGCUGGUAUUGUGUGUUGGCCUUCAGUAGGCUAGCUGAAACAAUGAGUGAUCUGAAAUAAAAUAGACAAGAUUGAGAGUUCUCCUGAAGGAAGUAAAGCACAAUUUGAUUUAAGAAAAUAGUUUGCGUGUGCUAUGGCUGUCAGCGCCGUGGACUAGCAGAUUGGUGGGAGCUGAGUGCAUGAUGAUGUGAAGUUAUCCCUGUCUGAAGGCAAAGAGAGGCCUUUCUGUGUGGAAUGUGGAUGUCUGAAACUCAGUUUCCCAGGUUUGUCUUACAGAAGACUUCGGCAAUGAUUUUAAAAAUGGCUGAAAGUUACUCUGUAUAUCUUCUUGAGUAGAUUUUUUUCUUUUUUAAUUCUUUUCCUCAUUGGGUGCAAUCUCAGCCUCAGUUUCUGAGGCUGAAAAAGGAUCCUGUAGCAGUUACACCUUGGCAGCUGCCCUGGCCCUGGCCCCGAAGGAGACUGUCUCGUGCGUGUAAGCACGAAAGACCUUCCAUACAGGCUCAGGUGUCUGCAGUGUGAGCAAGAACUGUGAACUGCUUUUCCUGAGGC